UCGUGUAAUUUCCAGCAACCAAGAUCAAGAAAUUGCGAAUCAUUGGCUUAUGAUCAUUCAGAAGACCAGCAAUGCGUUGCUCUUCAGUCCCAUGAUGAUCUUCAAUAUCUAGUGAACUUUCUCAUUUACAACAAAUGGAAUGACCAAAGUCAUCAAUUGCCCCAGCCACAGAACUGCACUAAACUUGCCGUUUUAAGCAAUGGACGAAAGCAUAGUAAGAAAUAUCUCAAUACCAAGGUAUGUAACAUAACAUGAACAUCGCAGAUGUUUGUGCACUGAUCAUUCUUCGAAAGAGGGGUCUAUCAUCUUCUUUCAAAUUUGUGUGUGUCAGUUAGAGAAGGGGUCCCCCGUUUCUGGAAAUGAAGCUGAAUCUGAUGCUUAUCCUCACGGAAACUCCAUUUCACCAGCAGCUGCUAUUUCUAGUAAUAGACGAAUUAGAUGGACUCCACAUCUUCACAACCAAUUUCUUGAAUGUGUAAAUCGUCUGGGAGGAGCUGAAAGUAAGUUUUGGACAGAAAAUGUCACUUUCGAGUCAAUAUCCAUACAUACUUCAAUUGACGUCCAAGUCAUGAUUUAUCGGAUGUCCACAGGAGCGAAACCAAUGUUAAUUCUGAAGCUAAUGGAUGUCAAAGAGUAGACAAUCUUUCAUAUUAAGAGUCACUUGCAGAAAUGUCGCAUGGCCAAGUACAUUACAGAAUCUAAAGAAGGAAAAUCAGAGAAGAACAAUUUUGACUCAAUGCCAGUGCACGACCUCAAAACAUGCAGCUGAACGUACAAAAGCGACUACUUCAACAGUUGGAGAUGCAAAGAAGUUUACAGAUGAAGAUUGGUGAACAGGGAAGGCAGCUAAUACGCUUCUUAGAGAAGCGUCUUAAGAACAAAAGUUGAGCAUCCCUCUCAGAUCCUCCUAUAACCAAGAACUUCUAAUGUCUUAUUUGAAGUCCAAGCCAAUAUCUUCCUUUGCAUCUGCCAACCUCAGUGCUCUUAGAGUGAGAUAUGUGCCAUCCGGAUGCAAAAUAGGAGGAAGCAUUCAACUCCAGAACAUUUGGCCUUCGUCUUACGCUAUUGUGUUUUUAAAGAAAUCAGACAAAAAAUUAUUAAAAUGUUGACUAUGGAUAUUGAGCUCUAUGGUCAAAACUUACCGCUGUAAUAUUCUAUCAACUAUCGGUAAAGUUUUGGAAAUAAGAUAGUACUUUUAUGCAAUCUCACGAGGAAUUUAUUUGAUGAC
Long non-coding RNA from Syzygium oleosum, 1228 nucleotides. RefSeq lists it as uncharacterized. The transcript has 5 exons. The record is from RefSeq and is a predicted model, not a curated record. Lineage: Eukaryota; Viridiplantae; Streptophyta; Magnoliopsida; Myrtales; Myrtaceae.